This 71-nucleotide transfer RNA is filed under the name Sphaerodactylus townsendi. RNAcentral describes it as "tRNA-Thr". The record is from RNAcentral. Lineage: Eukaryota; Metazoa; Chordata; Lepidosauria; Squamata; Sphaerodactylidae.
GGACCAUGGCUCAGUGGUUGAGAGCUUUCUUUGUAGGCAGAAGGUCCCAGGUUCAAUUCCGGGCAUCUCCA